GGGAAUAUUGCACAAUGGGCGAAAGCCUGAUGCAGCGACGCCGCGUGAGGGAUGACGGCCUUCGGGUUGUAAACCUCUUUCAGCAGGGAAGAAGCGAAAGUGACGGUACCUGCAGAAGAAGCGCCGGCUAACUACGUGCCAGCAGCCGCGGUAAUACGUAGGGCGCAAGCGUUGUCCGGAAUUAUUGGGCGUAAAGAGCUCGUAGGCGGCUUGUCACGUCGGAUGUGAAAGCCCGAGGCUUAACCUCGGGUCUGCAUUCGAUACGGGCUAGCUAGAGUGUGGUAGGGGAGAUCGGAAUUCCUGGUGUAGCGGUGAAAUGCGCAGAUAUCAGGAGGAACACCGGUGGCGAAGGCGGAUCUCUGGGCCAUUACUGACGCUGAGGAGCGAAAGCGUGGGGAGCGAA
This 403-nucleotide ribosomal RNA is filed under the name Streptomyces sp. Its description in RNAcentral is "bacterial SSU rRNA". It matches the Rfam family "Bacterial small subunit ribosomal RNA", at positions 357 to 772 of the family's 1533-position model. Lineage: Bacteria; Bacillati; Actinomycetota; Actinomycetes; Kitasatosporales; Streptomycetaceae. The record is from RNAcentral.